AAUAGAUACCCAGGUAGUCCACGCCGUAAACGAUGAGUGCUAAGUGUUAGGGGGUUUCCGCCCCUUAGUGCUGCAGCUAACGCAUUAAGCACUCCGCCUGGGGAGUACGGUCGCAAGACUGAAACUCAAAGGAAUUGACGGGGGCCCGCACAAGCGGUGGAGCAUGUGGUUUAAUUCGAAGCAACGCGAAGAACCUUACCAGGUCUUGACAUCCCAUUGACCGCUAUGGAGACAUGGCUUUCCCUUCGGGGACAGUGGUGACAGGUGGUGCAUGGUUGUCGUCAGCUCGUGUCGUGAGAUGUUGGGUUAAGUCCCGCAACGAGCGCAACCCUUGUUCUUAGUUGCCAUCAUUUAGUUGGGCACUCUAAGGAGACUGCCGGUGACAAACCGGAGGAAGGUGGGGAUGACGUCAAAUCAUCAUGCCCCUUAUGACCUGGGCUACACACGUGCUACAAUGGACGGUACAAACGGUUGCCAACCCGCGAGGGGGAGCUAAUCCGAUAAAACCGUUCUCAGUUCGGAUUGUAGGCUGCAACUCGCCUAC
This 544-nucleotide ribosomal RNA is filed under the name uncultured bacterium. RNAcentral's name for it is "bacterial SSU rRNA". It matches the Rfam family "Bacterial small subunit ribosomal RNA", at positions 777 to 1319 of the family's 1533-position model. The record is from RNAcentral.